Molecule: ribosomal RNA, 894 nt
Filed under: Neodidymelliopsis urticae
Lineage: Eukaryota; Fungi; Ascomycota; Dothideomycetes; Pleosporales; Didymellaceae
Description: Neodidymelliopsis sp. ISM-2019a partial large subunit ribosomal RNA
Rfam family: Eukaryotic large subunit ribosomal RNA
Source: RNAcentral
GCGGAGGAAAAGAAACCAACAGGGAUUGCCCUAGUAACGGCGAGUGAAGCGGCAACAGCUCAAAUUUGAAAUCUGGCGUCUUUGGCGUCCGAGUUGUAAUUUGCAGAGGGCGCUUUGGCAUCGGCAGCGGUCCAAGUUCCUUGGAACAGGACGUCACAGAGGGUGAGAAUCCCGUACGUGAUCGCUAGCCUUUACCGUGUAAAGCCCCUUCGACGAGUCGAGUUGUUUGGGAAUGCAGCUCUAAAUGGGAGGUAAAUUUCUUCUAAAGCUAAAUACUGGCCAGAGACCGAUAGCGCACAAGUAGAGUGAUCGAAAGAUGAAAAGCACUUUGGAAAGAGAGUUAAAAAGCACGUGAAAUUGUUGAAAGGGAAGCGCUUGCAGCCAGACUUGCCUGUAGUUGCUCAUCCGGGUUUUUAUCCGGUGCACUCUUCUAUAGGCAGGCCAGCAUCAGUUUGGGCGGUUGGAUAAAGGUCUCUGUCAUGUACCUCUCUUCGGGGAGAACUUAUAGGGGAGACGACAUGCAACCAGCCUGGACUGAGGUCCGCGCAUCUGCUAGGAUGCUGGCGUAAUGGCUGUAAGCGGCCCGUCUUGAAACACGGACCAAGGAGUCUAACAUCUAUGCGAGUGUUUGGGUGUCAAGCCCGAACGCGUAAUGAAAGUGAACGGAGGUGGGAACCUUUCGGGGUGCACCAUCGACCGAUCCUGAUGUCUUCGGAUGGAUUUGAGUAAGAGCAUAGCUGUUGGGACCCGAAAGAUGGUGAACUAUGCUUGAAUAGGGUGAAGCCAGAGGAAACUCUGGUGGAGGCUCGCAGCGGUUCUGACGUGCAAAUCGAUCGUCAAAUUUGGGCAUAGGGGCGAAAGACUAAUCGAACUAUCUAGUAGCUGGUUCCUGCC